RNAcentral lists this long non-coding RNA (403 nucleotides) under Cairina moschata (Muscovy duck). RNAcentral's name for it is "domestica (muscovy Duck (domestic type)) lncRNA (ENSCMMG00000010781.1)". The record is from RNAcentral. Lineage: Eukaryota; Metazoa; Chordata; Aves; Anseriformes; Anatidae.
UGGUUAUGGGGCACCCAAAGGUGCUAUGGGGUGCCUUGAGGGUGUUAUGGGGGCACCCCAAGGUGCGACGGGGCACCCCGAGGUGUUUCGGGUGCGGAAGUCCUGGAGAUGCCCACAGGCAACGGGGUCAGGCCUUGGGCAUGGGGAGCACCCAUGGGUCACCGGGAGCACCCAUGGGUCAUGGGGAGCACCCAUUGGUCAACAAGAGCACCCAUGGGUCAUGGGGAGCACCUAUUGGUCAACAAGAGCACCCAUUGACCUUGAAGAGCACCCAUUGGUCAUCAAGAGUAAUAAUUAGUCAUGGCGAGCACCCAUGGGUCACCAAGAGCACCCAUUGGUCAUCAGCAGCACCCACCGGCCUUGAAGAGCACCCAUUGCCCUCGAGGAGCACCCAUUGGCCACA